GGAGGGUGCAAGCGUUAUCCGGAUUCACUGGGUUUAAAGGGUGCGUAGGUGGAUUGGUAAGUCAGUGGUGAAAUCUCUGGGCUUAACUCAGAAACUGCCAUUGAUACUAUCAGUCUUGAAUACCGUGGAGGUCAGCGGAAUAUGUCAUGUAGCGGUGAAAUGCUUAGAUAUGACAUAGAACACCAAUUGCGAAGGCAGCUGGCUACACGAAUAUUGACACUGAGGCACGAAAGCGUGGGGAUCAAACAGGAUUAGAUACCCUGGUAGUCCACGCCCUAAACGAUGGAUACUCGGCAUUUGCGAUAAACUGCAAGUGUCUGAGCGAAAGCAUUAAGUAUCCCACCUGGGAAGUACGAUCGCAAGAUUG
RNAcentral lists this ribosomal RNA (367 nucleotides) under uncultured bacterium. Its description in RNAcentral is "bacterial SSU rRNA". It matches the Rfam family "Bacterial small subunit ribosomal RNA", at positions 527 to 896 of the family's 1533-position model. The record is from RNAcentral.